This 447-nucleotide ribosomal RNA is filed under the name uncultured bacterium. Its description in RNAcentral is "bacterial SSU rRNA". It matches the Rfam family "Bacterial small subunit ribosomal RNA", at positions 355 to 825 of the family's 1533-position model. The record is from RNAcentral.
UGGGGAAUAUUGGACAAUGGGCGAAAGCCUGAUCCAGCAAUGCCGCGUGAGUGACGAAGGCCUUAGGGUUGUAAAGCUCUUUUACCAGGGAUGAUAAUGACAGUACCUGGAGAAUAAGCUCCGGCUAACUCCGUGCCAGCAGCCGCGGUAAUACGGAGGGAGCUAGCGUUGUUCGGAAUUACUGGGCGUAAAGCGUACGUAGGCGGUGACUCAAGUCAGAGGUGAAAGCCUGGAGCUCAACUCCAGAACUGCCUUUGAAACUAGGUCGCUAGAAUCACGGAGAGGUGAGUGGAAUUCCGAGUGUAGAGGUGAAAUUCGUAGAUAUUCGGAAGAACACCAGUGGCGAAGGCGGCUCACUGGACGUGUAUUGACGCUGAGGUACGAAAGCGUGGGGAGCAAACAGGAUUAGAUACCCCCGUAGUCCCUGAGCGGGCUGGCAAGGCGCAU